RNAcentral lists this ribosomal RNA (648 nucleotides) under Neoscytalidium dimidiatum. Its description in RNAcentral is "eukaryotic LSU rRNA". The stretch from base 160 to 313 matches the Rfam family "5.8S ribosomal RNA". Lineage: Eukaryota; Fungi; Ascomycota; Dothideomycetes; Botryosphaeriales; Botryosphaeriaceae. The record is from RNAcentral.
GGCCCGAUCCUCCCACCCUUUGUGUACCCACCUCUGUUGCUUUGGCGGGCCGCGGUCCUCCGCGGCCGCCCUCCGUCCGGGGGGUGGCCAGCGCCCGCCAGAGGACCAUCGAACUCCGGUCAGUGAACGUUGCCGUCUGAAAAACAAUCAAUAAACUAAAACUUUCAACAACGGAUCUCUUGGUUCUGGCAUCGAUGAAGAACGCAGCGAAAUGCGAUAAGUAAUGUGAAUUGCAGAAUUCAGUGAAUCAUCGAAUCUUUGAACGCACAUUGCGCCCCUCGGUAUUCCGAGGGGCAUGCCUGUUCGAGCGUCAUUACAACCCUCAAGCUCUGCUUGGUGUUGGGCACCGCCCUUCCGCGGGCGCGCCUCAAAGACCUCGGCGGUGGCGUCUUGCCUCGAGCGUAGUAGAAAACACCUCGCUUUGGAGCGCACGGCGCCGCCCGCCGGACGAACCUUUUGAACUUUCUCAAGGUUGACCUCGGAUCAGGUAGGGAUACCCGCUGAACUUAAGCAUAUCAAUAGGGCGGGAGGAAACCGAGUUGAUUCGGGCUCCGGCCCGAUCCUCCCACCUUUGUGUACCCACCUCUGUUGCUUUGGCGGGCCGCGGUCCUCCGCGGCGCCUCCUUCGGGGGGGUGGCCAGCGCGCCC